Ictalurus furcatus (blue catfish) is the source of this 843-nucleotide non-coding RNA. NCBI's taxonomy places the organism in Eukaryota, Metazoa, Chordata, Actinopteri, Siluriformes, Ictaluridae. The record is from the annotation of a RefSeq genome assembly.
UCUUCAUAUGCAACACUGAAACUAUAUUUUGACUAAAUUUAAUUAAUUUAUUUGUUCAUUUGUUCCUGUAAGAAUAUGUCUACACAGAUUUAUGUAUGAAAAUGUUUGAAGAAAUGCUGUAUUGUAAAAAGACUGCUGUAAUUAAUGUAAAAUACGUGUCCCAUACUGCAUGCAAAUCUCCCCAACCUCAGACAGAUAUAAAUACACUGCAAGUACACAGCAGUCUCUGUGUUUGGUCGAGUACAGCAGAGGAAUCAUGAGCUGGCCUCUUCUUCUUCUGAUAUCCUCUGUGCCCUAUGUGCAUGGCAUCAGUCUGACCUCGUCUCCUGCUGAGGUUAAACCUCCCGGAGCCUCAGUGAAGUUGUCCUGUCAGAUUUCUGGCUAUGCCCUUACUAGCUACGGCACAAGCUGGAUCAGACAGCCUCCAGGAAAAGGCUUGGAGUGGAUCGGGAUCAUAUGGGGUGAUGGAAACAUAAACUCUGGAGCUUCCUUUAAAACUCGCUUCAGCAUCUCCAGAGACACGAGCAACAAUGUGCUUUACUUAGAUAUCAGCAGCCUGCUGCCAGAAGACACGGCUGUUUAUUAUUGUGCAAAGACACACAGCUGUACAUCUCAGUGAGAGGACUGUACAAAAAUUAAACCUCACAUAUGUGUGAAGUUUAUUUUGAGUUAAAACCUAAAAGGUACCAUUUAUGGAAAUCCAUCACAUCCUAUAUGCAUAAAGAAAAUUUUAUAUAUUUAUAUAUCUGCACCCACUUUAGAAAUUAUUAACAUUAUGCAUUUCAUUAUGCUUUAAGUCCUCUGAAAGGUGCUCUUUCUCUACUUACACAACACAACACCUAC